Unclassified non-coding RNA from Pongo abelii (Sumatran orangutan), 148 nucleotides. It matches the Rfam family "Metazoan signal recognition particle RNA". From Rfam's summary of the family: The signal recognition particle (SRP) is a universally conserved ribonucleoprotein. It is involved in the co-translational targeting of proteins to membranes. The record is from Ensembl. NCBI's taxonomy places the organism in Eukaryota, Metazoa, Chordata, Mammalia, Primates, Hominidae.
GCCAGGUGUGGUGGUGCAUGCCUGUAGUCCCAGCUACUUGGGAGGCUGAGGCAGGAGAAUCGCUUGAGCCUGGGAGGUGGACGUUACAGUGAGCCAAGAUUGUGUCACUGUACUCCAGCCUGGGCAACAGAGUGAGACCCUGUCUCAA